RNAcentral lists this transfer RNA (73 nucleotides) under Ailuropoda melanoleuca (giant panda). It matches the Rfam family "tRNA". Rfam says of the family: Transfer RNA (tRNA) molecules are approximately 80 nucleotides in length. Their secondary structure includes four short double-helical elements and three loops (D, anti-codon, and T loops). Lineage: Eukaryota; Metazoa; Chordata; Mammalia; Carnivora; Ursidae. The record is from Rfam by way of RNAcentral.
GCCUGGCUGCCUCAGCCAGUGGAGUGUGUGACUCUUGAUCUCGGGGCUAUGGGUUCGAGCCCCAUGUUGGGUG